GACGAACGCUGGCGGCGUGCUUAACACAUGCAAGUCGAACGGAAAGGCCCUGCUUUUGUGGGGUGCUCGAGUGGCGAACGGGUGAGUAACACGUGAGUAACCUGCCCUUGACUUUGGGAUAACUUCAGGAAACUGGGGCUAAUACCGGAUAGGAGCUCCUGCUGCAUGGUGGGGGUUGGAAAGUUUCGGCGGUUGGGGAUGGACUCGCGGCUUAUCAGCUUGUUGGUGGGGUAGUGGCUUACCAAGGCUUUGACGGGUCGCCGGCCUGAGAGGGUGACCGGCCACAUGGGGACUGCGAUACGGACCAGACUCCUACGGGAGGCAGCAGGGGGGAAUAUUGCACAAUGGGCGGAAGCCUGAUGCAGCAACGCCGCGUGCGGGAUGACGGCCUUCGGGUUGUAAACCGCUUUCGCCUGUGACGAAGCGUGAGUGACGGUAAUGGGUAAAGAAGCACCGGCUAACUACGUG
RNAcentral lists this ribosomal RNA (468 nucleotides) under uncultured bacterium. RNAcentral's name for it is "partial 16S ribosomal RNA". It matches the Rfam family "Bacterial small subunit ribosomal RNA", at positions 28 to 507 of the family's 1533-position model. The record is from RNAcentral.